AUAGCGUAUAUUAAAGUUGUUGCAGUUAAAAAGCUCGUAGUUGAACUUCAGACCUGGCUGGAUGGUCUGCCUAACGGUAUGUACUGUCUGGCUGGGCCUUACCUCUUGGUGAGCCGGCAUGCCCUUCACUGGGUGUGUUGGGGAACCAGGACUUUUACCUUGAGAAAAUUAGAGUGUUCAAAGCAGGCUCACGCCCGAAUACAUUAGCAUGGAAUAAUAAAAUAGGACGUGCGGUUCUAUUUUGUUGGUUUCUAGAGUCGCCGUAAUGAUUAAUAGGGAUAGUUGGGGGCAUUAGUAUUCAGUUGCUAGAGGUGAAAUUCUUAGAUUUACUGAAGACUAACUACUG
This 346-nucleotide ribosomal RNA is filed under the name uncultured eukaryote. RNAcentral's name for it is "SSU rRNA". It matches the Rfam family "Eukaryotic small subunit ribosomal RNA", at positions 594 to 945 of the family's 1831-position model. The record is from RNAcentral.